This 468-nucleotide ribosomal RNA is filed under the name uncultured bacterium. RNAcentral describes it as "partial 16S ribosomal RNA". It matches the Rfam family "Bacterial small subunit ribosomal RNA", at positions 28 to 507 of the family's 1533-position model. The record is from RNAcentral.
GACGAACGCUGGCGGCGUGCUUAACACAUGCAAGUCGAACGGAAAGGCCCUGCUUUUGUGGGGUGCUCGAGUGGCGAACGGGUGAGUAACACGUGAGUAACCUGCCCUUGACUUUGGGAUGACUUCAGGAAACUGGGGCUAAUACCGGAUAGGAGCUCCUGCUGCAUGGUGGGGGUUGGAAAGUUUCGGCGGUUGGGGAUGGACUCGCGGCUUAUCAGCUUGUUGGUGGGGUAGUGGCUUACCAAGGCUUUGACGGGUAGCCGGCCUGAGAGGGUGACCGGCCACAUUGGGACUGCGAUACGGCCCAGACUGCUACGGGAGGCAGCAGUGGGGAAUAUUGCACAAUGGGCGGAAGCCUGAUGCAGCAACGCCGCGUGCGGGAUGACGGCCUUCGGGUUGUAAACCGCUUUCGCCUGUGACGAAGCGUGAGUGACGGUAAUGGGUAAAGAAGCACCGGCUAACUACGUG